RNAcentral lists this ribosomal RNA (496 nucleotides) under uncultured bacterium. RNAcentral's name for it is "partial 16S ribosomal RNA". It matches the Rfam family "Bacterial small subunit ribosomal RNA", at positions 28 to 506 of the family's 1533-position model. The record is from RNAcentral.
GAUGAACGCUGGCGGCGUGCCUAAUACAUGCAAGUCGAGCGAACGGACGAGAAGCUUGCUUUUCUGAUGUUAGCGGCGGACGGGUGAGUAACACGUGGAUAACCUACCUAUAAGACUGGGAUAACUUCGGGAAACCGGAGCUAAUACCGGAUAAUAUUUUGAACCGCAUGGUUCAAAAGUGAAAGACGGUCUUGCUGUCACUUAUAGAUGGAUCCGCGCUGCAUUAGCUAGUUGGUAAGGUAACGGCUUACCAAGGCAACGAUGCAUAGCCGACCUGAGAGGGUGACCGGCCACAUUGGAACUGGAACACGUUCCAACCCCCAAGGGGGGGCAGCAGGAGGGAAUUUCCCGCAAGGGGCGAAAGCCUAAGGGACCAACGCCCGGGGAGUGAUGAGGUCUUUGGGAUCGAAAAACUUUUUUAUUGGGGAAGAAAAAUUGUUAAAAUAACUGUGCCAAUUUUGCCGGUACCAAAACAAAAAGCCCCGGCUAACUCCGU